GGCGGAUGUAGCCAAGGUGGAUAAA
This 25-nucleotide transfer RNA is filed under the name Passiflora tenuifila. Its description in RNAcentral is "partial tRNA-His". Lineage: Eukaryota; Viridiplantae; Streptophyta; Magnoliopsida; Malpighiales; Passifloraceae. The record is from RNAcentral.